AAACCAGCACCUCAAGUGGUCAGGAUGAUUAUUGGGCCUAAAGCAUCCGUAGCCGGCUCUGUAAGUUUUCGGUUAAAUCUGUAUGCUCAACAUACAGGCCGCCGGGAAUACUGCAGAGCUAGGGAGUGGGAGAGGUAGACGGUACUCGGGAGGAAGUGGUAAAAUGCUUUGAUCUCUCGAUGACCACCUGUGGCGAAGGCGGUCUACCAGAACACGUCCGACGGUGAGGGAUGAAAGCUGGGGGAGCAAACCGAAUUAGAUACCCGAGUAGUCC
This 274-nucleotide ribosomal RNA is filed under the name uncultured bacterium. RNAcentral describes it as "partial 16S ribosomal RNA". It matches the Rfam family "Archaeal small subunit ribosomal RNA", at positions 473 to 747 of the family's 1478-position model. The record is from RNAcentral.